GGGCGUAAAGAGCUCGUAGGUGGUUUGUCGCGUCGUCUGUGAAAUCCCGGGGCUUAACUUCGGGCGUGCAGGCGAUACGGGCAUAACUUGAGUGCUGUAGGGGAGACUGGAAUUCCUGGUGUAGCGGUGAAAUGCGCAGAUAUCAGGAGGAACACCGAUGGCGAAGGCAGGUCUCUGGGCAGUAACUGACGCUGAGGAGCGAAAGCAUGGGUAGCGAACAGGAUUAGAUACCCUGGUAGUCCAUGCCGUAAACGGUGGGCGCUAGGUGUAGGGGGCUUCCACGUCUUCUGUGCCGUAGCUAACGCAUUAAGCGCCCCGCCUGGGGAGUACGGCCGCAAGGCUAAAACUCAAAGGAAUUGACGGGGGCCCGCACAAGCGGCGGAGCAAUGUGGAUUAAUUCGAUGCAACGCGAAGAACCUUUACCUGGGCUUGACAUGUACCGGAUCGGGCUAGAGAUAGUCUUUCCCUUGUGGUCGGUAUACAGGUGGUGCAUGGUUGUCGUCAGCUCGUGUCGUGAGAUGUUGGGUUAAGUCCCGCAACGAGCGCAACCCUUGUCUUAUGUUGCCAGCACGUUAUGGUGGGAACUCAUGAGAGACUGCCGGGGUUAACUCGGAGGAAGGUGGGGAUGACGUCAAAUCAUCAUGCCACUUAUGUCCAGGGCUUCACACAUGCUACAAUGGUCGAUACAAUGGGCAGCGACAUCGUGAGGUGAAGCGAAUCCCUGAAAGUCGGCCUUAGUUCGGAUUGGGGUCUGCAACUCGACCCCAUGAAGUCGGAGUCGCUAGUAAU
This 789-nucleotide ribosomal RNA is filed under the name uncultured bacterium. Its description in RNAcentral is "bacterial SSU rRNA". It matches the Rfam family "Bacterial small subunit ribosomal RNA", at positions 556 to 1342 of the family's 1533-position model. The record is from RNAcentral.